ACGAACGCUGGCGGCGUGCUUAACACAUGCAAGUCGAACGGAAAGGCCCUGCUUUUGUGGGGUGCUCGAGUGGCGAACGGGUGAGUAACACGUGAGUAACCUGCCCUUGACUUUGGGAUAACUUCAGGAAACUGGGGCUAAUACCGGAUAGGAGCUCCUGCUGCAUGGUGGGGGUUGGAAAGUUUCGGCGGUUGGGGAUGGACUCGCGGCUUAUCAGCUUGUUGGUGGGGUAGUGGCUUACCAAGGCUUUGACGGGUAGCCGGCCUGAGAGGGUGACCGGCCACAUUGGGACUGAGAUACGGACCAGACUCCUACGGGAGGCAGCAGUGGGGAAUAUUGCACAAUGAGCGGAAGCCUGAUGCAGCAACGCCGCGUGCGGGAUGACGGCCUUCGGGUUGUAAACCGCUUUCGCCUGUGACGAAGCGUGAGUGACGGUAAUGGGUAAAGAAGCACCGGCUAACUACGUG
RNAcentral lists this ribosomal RNA (467 nucleotides) under uncultured bacterium. RNAcentral describes it as "partial 16S ribosomal RNA". It matches the Rfam family "Bacterial small subunit ribosomal RNA", at positions 29 to 507 of the family's 1533-position model. The record is from RNAcentral.